This 252-nucleotide ribosomal RNA is filed under the name uncultured bacterium. RNAcentral's name for it is "partial 16S ribosomal RNA". It matches the Rfam family "Bacterial small subunit ribosomal RNA", at positions 524 to 776 of the family's 1533-position model. The record is from RNAcentral.
UACGUAGGUCCCGAGCGUUGUCCGGAUUUAUUGGGCGUAAAGCGAGCGCAGGUGGUUUAUUAAGUCUGGUGUAAAAGGCAGUGGCUCAACCAUUGUAUGCAUUGGAAACUGGUAGACUUGAGUGCAGGAGAGGAGAGUGGAAUUCCAUGUGUAGCGGUGAAAUGCGUAGAUAUAUGGAGGAACACCGGUGGCGAAGGCGGGUUCCUGGACAUUAACUGACGCUGAGGCACGAAGGCCAGGGGAGCGAAAGGG